CCUACGGGUGGCAGCAGUGGGGAAUAUUGGACAAUGGGGGGAACCCUGAUCCUGCCAUGCCGCGUGUGUGAAGAAGGCCCUCGGGUUGUAAAGCACUUUCAGUGAGGAAGAACGCCUGGUGGUUAAUACCCAUCAGGAAAGACAUCACUCACAGAAGAAGCACCGGCUAACUCCGUGCCAGCGGCCGCGGUAAUACGGAGGGUGCGAGCGUUAAUCGGAAUUACUGGGCGUAAAGCGCGCGUAGGUGGCUUGAUAAGCCGGUUGUGAAAGCCCCGGGCUCAACCUGGGAACGGCAUCCGGAACUGUCAAGCUAGAGUGCAGGAGAGGAAGGUAGAAUUCCCGGUGUAGCGGUGAAAUGCGUAGAGAUCGGGAGGAAUACCAGUGGCGAAGGCGGCCUUCUGGACUGACACUGACACUGAGGUGCGAAAGCGUGGGUAGCAAACAGGAUUAGAUACCCUGGUAGUC
Molecule: ribosomal RNA, 465 nt
Filed under: Vreelandella stevensii
Lineage: Bacteria; Pseudomonadati; Pseudomonadota; Gammaproteobacteria; Oceanospirillales; Halomonadaceae
Description: partial 16S ribosomal RNA
Rfam family: Bacterial small subunit ribosomal RNA
Source: RNAcentral